This 483-nucleotide long non-coding RNA is filed under the name Gallus gallus (chicken). Its description in RNAcentral is "lncRNA (ENSGALG00010000690.1)". The record is from RNAcentral. Lineage: Eukaryota; Metazoa; Chordata; Aves; Galliformes; Phasianidae.
CCCCAUUAUUGGGGUCCCCCUUUAUAGGGCCAUGGGGUGACCCCAAUUUAGGGUCCCCCAUUAAUGAGAUUUUGGGGUCCCCCACUAUAGGGCUAUAGGGUGACCCCAUAAACUUUGGGCCCCUGUUAUUGGGAUUUUGGGAUCCCCCAUUAUAGGGCUAUGAGGUGACCCCAUAAAAUUUGGGCCCCCAUUAUUGGGGUCCCCCUUUAUAGGGCUAUGGGGUGACCCCAAUUUAGGGUCCUCCCAAUGGGAUUUGGGGUCCCCCAUUACAGAGCUAUGGGGUGACCCCAUAAACUUUGGAUCCCCCAUUAUUGGGGUCCCCCUUUAUAGGGCUAUGGGGUGACCCCAAUUUAGGGGUCCUCCCAAUGGGAUUUGGGGUCCCCCAUUACAGAGCUAUGGGGUGACCCCAUAAACUUUGGGCCCCCAUUAUUGGGGUUCCCCAUGACAGGGCUAUAGGCUGACCCCAUAACCUUUGGACCCCCG